UGAACGCUGGCGGCAGGCCUAACACAUGCAAGUCGAACGGUAACAGGAAGCAGCUUGCUGCUUCGCUGGCGAGUGGCGGACGGGUGAGUAAUGUCUGGGAAACUGCCUGAUGGAGGGGGAUAACUACUGGAAACGGUAGCUAAUACCGCAUAAUGUCGCAAGACCAAAGAGGGGGACCUUCGGGCCUCUUGCCAUCGGAUGUGCCCAGAUGGGAUUAGCUAGUAGGUGGGGUAACGGCUCACCUAGGCGACGAUCCCUAGCUGGUCUGAGAGGAUGACCAGCCACACUGGAACUGAGACACGGUCCAGACUCCUACGGGAGGCAGCAGUGGGGAAUAUUGCACAAUGGGCGCAAGCCUGAUGCAGCCAUGCCGCGUGUAUGAAGAAGGCCUUCGGGUUGUAAAGUACUUUCAGCGGGGAGGAAGGCGAUAAGGUUAAUAACCUUGUCGAUUGACGUUACCCGCAGAAGAAGCACCGGCUAACUCCGUGCCAGCAGCCGCGGUAAUACGGAGGGUGCAAGCGUUAAUCGGAAUUACUGGGCGUAAAGCGCACGCAGGCGGUCUGUCAAGUCGGAUGUGAAAUCCCCGGGGCUCAACCUGGGAACUGCAUUCGAAACUGGCAGGCUAGAGUCUUGUAGAGGGGGGUAGAAUUUCCAGGUGUAGCGGUGAAAUGCGUAGAGAUCUGGAGGGAUACCGGGUGGCGAAGGCGGCCCCCUGGACAAAGACUGACGCUCAGGUGCGAAAAGCGUGGGGAGCAAACAGGAUUAGAUACCCCUGGUAGUCCACGCCGUAAACGAUGUCGACUUGGAGGUUGUGCCCUUGAGGCGUGGCUUCCGGAGCUAACGCGUUAAGUCGACCGCCUGGGGAGUACGGCCGCAAGGUUAAAACUCAAAUGAAUUGACGGGGGCCCGCACAAGCGGUGGAGCAUGUGGUUUAAUUCGAUGCAACGCGAAGAACCUUACCUACUCUUGACAUCCAGAGAACUUUCCAGAGAUGGAUUGGUGCCUUCGGGAACUCUGAGACAGGUGCUGCAUGGCUGUCGUCAGCUCGUGUUGUGAAAUGUUGGGUUAAGUCCCGCAACGAGCGCAACCCUUAUCCUUUGUUGCCAGCGGUUAGGCCGGGAACUCAAAGGAGACUGCCAGUGAUAAACUGGAGGAAGGUGGGGAUGACGUCAAGUCAUCAUGGCCCUUACGAGUAGGGCUACACACGUGCUACAAUGGCGCAUACAAAGAGAAGCGACCUCGCGAGAGCAAGCGGACCUCAUAAAGUGCGUCGUAGUCCGGAUUGGAGUCUGCAACUCGACUCCAUGAAGUCGGAAUCGCUAGUAAUCGUGGAUCAGAAUGCCACGGUGAAUACGUUCCCGGGCCUUGUACACACCGC
RNAcentral lists this ribosomal RNA (1378 nucleotides) under uncultured bacterium. RNAcentral describes it as "16S ribosomal RNA". It matches the Rfam family "Bacterial small subunit ribosomal RNA", at positions 30 to 1393 of the family's 1533-position model. The record is from RNAcentral.